This 253-nucleotide ribosomal RNA is filed under the name uncultured bacterium. RNAcentral's name for it is "partial 16S ribosomal RNA". It matches the Rfam family "Bacterial small subunit ribosomal RNA", at positions 524 to 776 of the family's 1533-position model. The record is from RNAcentral.
UACAGAGGGGGCAAGCGUUAAUCGGAAUUACUGGGCGUAAAGCGUGCGUAGACGGUUGCGUAAGUCAGCUGUGAAAGCCCCGGGCUUAACCUGGGAAUUGCGGUUGAAACUACAGGGCUAGAAUCUGGCAGAGGGGGGUGGAAUUCCACGUGUAGCAGUGAAAUGCGUAGAGAUGUGGAGGAACACCGAUGGCGAAGGCAGCCCCCUGGGCUGAGAUUGACGCUCAGGCACGAAAGCGUGGGGAGCAAACAGG